This 544-nucleotide ribosomal RNA is filed under the name uncultured bacterium. Its description in RNAcentral is "bacterial SSU rRNA". It matches the Rfam family "Bacterial small subunit ribosomal RNA", at positions 777 to 1314 of the family's 1533-position model. The record is from RNAcentral.
AAUAGAUACCCGGGUAGUCCACGCUGUAAACGAUGAGUACUAGCUGUCGGAGGUUACCCCCUUCGGUGGCGCAGCUAACGACAUUAAGUACUCCGCCUGGGAAGUACGGCUCGCAAGAGUGAAACUACAAAGGAAUUGACGGGGACCCGCACAAGUAGCGGAGCAUGUGGUUUAAUUCGAGGCAACGCGAAGAACCUUACCUAAGCUUGACAUCCUUUUGACCGAUGCCUAAUCGCAUCUUUCCCUUCGGGGACAGAAGUGACAGGUGGUGCAUGGUUGUCGUCAGCUCGUGUCGUGAGAUGUUGGGUUAAGUCCCGCAACGAGCGCAACCCUUGCCUUUAGUUGCCAGCAUUAAGUUGGGCACUCUAGAGGGACUGCCGAGGGAUAACCUGGAGGAAGGUGGGGAUGACGUCAAAUCAUCAUGCCCCCUUAUGCUUAGGGCUACACACGUGCUACAAUGGGGUUGGUACAGAGGGCAGCCAAGUCGUGAGGCGGAGCUAAUCCCUUAAAGCCAUUCUCAGUUCGGAUUGUAGGCUGAAACUCG